Molecule: transfer RNA, 73 nt
Filed under: Camelus bactrianus (Bactrian camel)
Lineage: Eukaryota; Metazoa; Chordata; Mammalia; Artiodactyla; Camelidae
Also listed under: 2 other names
Rfam family: tRNA
About the family: Transfer RNA (tRNA) molecules are approximately 80 nucleotides in length.
Source: Rfam by way of RNAcentral
GAGGGUAUAGCUCAAGUGGUAGAGCACAUGCUUAGCAUGCACAAGGUCCUGGGUUCAAUCCCCAGGAACUCCU